AGCCUGCGGGACAUCAGGGCCGCGAGACCUGGAAGGAGCAGGACUCUUGGAGAGGCAGAUGGUCUCGGUUGCUGCCGGACGGGCGCUGGCGGCCCCUGUCCUGGCCACAGUCCUGGGUAUGAUAGUCCUCCCCGCGGGCAGCCGCGGAUGCUCCCUAGCGCCCCUGUCCUCUUGCGACGCGGCUGCCCUGUGCUUCACCCGGUUCCGAGGCUCCUGGCAGAAGGUGGCGACAGGUGCGGACGCGGAGCCAUGACCGCGCUGCCGCGAUCCAAGGCGGUUUAGUGCCCCCCCCCCCCCCGCCCGGUCUGUUGGUCAGGUUGGGAACUCUCCACGCCUCUCUUGGUCCCUCUAUGCUCACCUGCCUUUCCCCGAACUGGAGUUCCUAGUGUGACUCCCAGAGCCCUCUGCAGAGUCUCCGAAACGUCCAGCAGUGCGUGUGGCCCCCAGGCGCCCGUGGAGGAGGGCUGCGGCUCAGCAGGACCAGGUGCUUGCAGUCGGCGGGGAAGUGGGAAUUGUGCCGACAGCAGAGCGCGAGGGGACAUGGGAACCCUGGCGGCCGGGUGCAGAACUAGGAGAAGGAUGAAAUAGAGGGGAGGCCCUACUUAGCUGAUGGAGGAGGACACUGUGGGCUGAUGGCCCUGGGCUCACAGCUUAUGGAACCCAGGACCUUGUGCAUACAAGUCAAGCACUCCCAACUGAGCUGCAUCCCAGCCCCAGCAUGCGCUUUGGAUGGACUAAAGCCAGGGGAAAGGUGCUGUUGGAGACUUACAUGGUGUAUCCCAGGUGUUGAUGUCAGCCUGGAUGUCCCCGAAAGAAGCAGGCACGUGACCUGCCCUGUGUUCCGUGGUUAAGAGGAUUGAGGUCACCGGCUGAGGUCACCCCACCCACUUCUCAUGUUCACUGUUCACCGAAUUUCCUUUAAAAAGAAGAGCCCAAGACCCCCAAAGAGCAGCUACGGCUGAGUGGCCCCACCCUUCUUCUGCAUGUGUGUCCCGUUCCAUUGCUUGCUUUACUGAAUAAAGCUUGCUCUCCUAAAUAAAU
Marmota monax (woodchuck) is the source of this 1041-nucleotide long non-coding RNA. RefSeq lists it as uncharacterized. The transcript has 3 exons. The record is from RefSeq and is a predicted model, not a curated record. Lineage: Eukaryota; Metazoa; Chordata; Mammalia; Rodentia; Sciuridae.